This 2899-nucleotide ribosomal RNA is filed under the name Shigella dysenteriae 225-75. RNAcentral describes it as "bacterial LSU rRNA". It matches the Rfam family "Bacterial large subunit ribosomal RNA". The record is from RNAcentral. Lineage: Bacteria; Pseudomonadati; Pseudomonadota; Gammaproteobacteria; Enterobacterales; Enterobacteriaceae.
UAAGCGACUAAGCGUACACGGUGGAUGCCCUGGCAGUCAGAGGCGAUGAAGGACGUGCUAAUCUGCGAUAAGCGUCGGUAAGGUGAUAUGAACCGUUAUAACCGGCGAUUUCCGAAUGGGGAAACCCAGUGUGAUUCGUCACACUAUCAUUAACUGAAUCCAUAGGUUAAUGAGGCGAACCGGGGGAACUGAAACAUCUAAGUACCCCGAGGAAAAGAAAUCAACCGAGAUUCCCCCAGUAGCGGCGAGCGAACGGGGAGCAGCCCAGAGCCUGAAUCAGUGUGUGUGUUAGUGGAAGCGUCUGGAAAGGCGUGCGAUACAGGGUGACAGCCCCGUACACAAAAAUGCACAUAUUGUGAGCUCGAUGAGUAGGGCGGGACACGUGGUAUCCUGUCUGAAUAUGGGGGGACCAUCCUCCAAGGCUAAAUACUCCUGACUGACCGAUAGUGAACCAGUACCGUGAGGGAAAGGCGAAAAGAACCCCGGCGAGGGGAGUGAAAAAGAACCUGAAACCGUGUACGUACAAGCAGUGGGAGCACGCUUAGGCGUGUGACUGCGUACCUUUUGUAUAAUGGGUCAGCGACUUAUAUUCUGUAGCAAGGUUAACCGAAUAGGGGAGCCGAAGGGAAACCGAGUCUUAACUGGGCGUUAAGUUGCAGGGUAUAGACCCGAAACCCGGUGAUCUAGCCAUGGGCAGGUUGAAGGUUGGGUAACACUAACUGGAGGACCGAACCGACUAAUGUUGAAAAAUUAGCGGAUGACUUGUGGCUGGGGGUGAAAGGCCAAUCAAACCGGGAGAUAGCUGGUUCUCCCCGAAAGCUAUUUAGGUAGCGCCUCGUGAAUUCAUCUCCGGGGGUAGAGCACUGUUUCGGCAAGGGGGUCAUCCCGACUUACCAACCCGAUGCAAACUGCGAAUACCGGAGAAUGUUAUCACGGGAGACACACGGCGGGUGCUAACGUCCGUCGUGAAGAGGGAAACAACCCAGACCGCCAGCUAAGGUCCCAAAGUCAUGGUUAAGUGGGAAACGAUGUGGGAAGGCCCAGACAGCCAGGAUGUUGGCUUAGAAGCAGCCAUCAUUUAAAGAAAGCGUAAUAGCUCACUGGUCGAGUCGGCCUGCGCGGAAGAUGUAACGGGGCUAAACCAUGCACCGAAGCUGCGGCAGCGACACUAUGUGUUGUUGGGUAGGGGAGCGUUCUGUAAGCCUGUGAAGGUGUACUGUGAGGUAUGCUGGAGGUAUCAGAAGUGCGAAUGCUGACAUAAGUAACGAUAAAGCGGGUGAAAAGCCCGCUCGCCGGAAGACCAAGGGUUCCUGUCCAACGUUAAUCGGGGCAGGGUGAGUCGACUCCUAAGGCGAGGCCGAAAGGCGUAGUCGAUGGGAAACAGGUUAAUAUUCCUGUACUUGGUGUUACUGCGAAGGGGGGACGGAGAAGGCUAUGUUGGCCGGGCGACGGUUGUCCCGGUUUAAGCGUGUAGGCUGGUUUUCCAGGCAAAUCCGGAAAACUAAGGCUGAGGCGUGAUGACGAGGCACUACGGUGCUGAAGCAACAAAUGCCCUGCUUCCAGGAAAAGCCUCUAAGCAUCAGGUAACAUCAAAUCGUACCCCAAACCGACACAGGUGGUCAGGUAGAGAAUACCAAGGCGCUUGAGAGAACUCGGGUGAAGGAACUAGGCAAAAUGGUGCCGUAACUUCGGGAGAAGGCACGCUGAUAUGUAGGUGAAGUCCCUCGCGGAUGGAGCUGAAAUCAGUCGAAGAUACCAGCUGGCUGCAACUGUUUAUUAAAAACACAGCACUGUGCAAACACGAAAGUGGACGUAUACGGUGUGACGCCUGCCCGGUGCCGGAAGGUUAAUUGAUGGGGUCAGCGCAAGCGAAGCUCUUGAUCGAAGCCCCGGUAAACGGCGGCCGUAACUAUAACGGUCCUAAGGUAGCGAAAUUCCUUGUCGGGUAAGUUCCGACCUGCACGAAUGGCGUAAUGAUGGCCAGGCUGUCUCCACCCGAGACUCAGUGAAAUUGAACUCGCUGUGAAGAUGCAGUGUACCCGCGGCAAGACGGAAAGACCCCGUGAACCUUUACUAUAGCUUGACACUGAACAUUGAGCCUUGAUGUGUAGGAUAGGUGGGAGGCUUUGAAGUGUGGACGCCAGUCUGCAUGGAGCCGACCUUGAAAUACCACCCUUUAAUGUUUGAUGUUCUAACGUUGACCCGUAAUCCGGGUUGCGGACAGUGUCUGGUGGGUAGUUUGACUGGGGCGGUCUCCUCCUAAAGAGUAACGGAGGAGCACGAAGGUUGGCUAAUCCUGGUCGGACAUCAGGAGGUUAGUGCAAUGGCAUAAGCCAGCUUGACUGCGAGCGUGACGGCGCGAGCAGGUGCGAAAGCAGGUCAUAGUGAUCCGGUGGUUCUGAAUGGAAGGGCCAUCGCUCAACGGAUAAAAGGUACUCCGGGGAUAACAGGCUGAUACCGCCCAAGAGUUCAUAUCGACGGCGGUGUUUGGCACCUCGAUGUCGGCUCAUCACAUCCUGGGGCUGAAGUAGGUCCCAAGGGUAUGGCUGUUCGCCAUUUAAAGUGGUACGCGAGCUGGGUUUAGAACGUCGUGAGACAGUUCGGUCCCUAUCUGCCGUGGGCGCUGGAGAACUGAGGGGGGCUGCUCCUAGUACGAGAGGACCGGAGUGGACGCAUCACUGGUGUUCGGGUUGUCAUGCCAAUGGCACUGCCCGGUAGCUAAAUGCGGAAGAGAUAAGUGCUGAAAGCAUCUAAGCACGAAACUUGCCCCGAGAUGAGUUCUCCCUGACUCCUUGAGAGUCCUGAAGGAACGUUGAAGACGACGACGUUGAUAGGCCGGGUGUGUAAGCGCAGCGAUGCGUUGAGCUAACCGGUACUAAUGAACCGUGAGGCUUAACCU